Molecule: long non-coding RNA, 888 nt
Filed under: Gallus gallus (chicken)
Lineage: Eukaryota; Metazoa; Chordata; Aves; Galliformes; Phasianidae
Description: long non-coding RNA NONGGAT002569
Source: RNAcentral
GGGAUUUCUGGCACAGCCCACAGCGUUCACAGCUACCAAAGCAUCAGCAAAACAGCACAGAGACAUGCGGGCACUGGGACGCACUGAGGUCCAUCUGCUGCUCAUGAAGAGACUGCCAUUCACAAGAUGGAUCUUGCAGACUUCAGCACAUCUACAGCAUCGGGAACACCAAACGAUGAUGGCCAGAAGGUGCCAGACUUGCGCGUACCCCACUCAGUUGGAACCCCACUCUGCUCCCACAGGUCGAUAUGUGCCCUCUGAGGAAACACCUUCAAGCAGAACCUCACUUUCUGAUCUUCCUGAAGUCUCAGAAUCCAGAUUACGCACCAUCCCUAUGCGGAAUCAGGACAACCUCCCUCUGAGAAUUCAGAGCCUGCAGGAUGCUUAGUAGGACAUGCCUGGAAUUACACAGAUUAUGCCUCCUUGCAUGGGAGAAGUAGAAAAGUCACAGCAUGGGUUAAAAAUACGCUUGUCUUCUCUCAAUAAUUAAUUGUUUAGGGAUUAACAUGAGGUUUUGUGUUUUGAAAGUAAACUAAUCCACUCGUUGGCUGGUGUGUAAUGAAGGAGAACAGGCUACUGUCAAGCAGGCUGAAAACAGUGAAAAUUAACUACAAGUGCCACGACUCACAUAUUUUAUGUAUAUGAGUAAUGUAUUCUCUGUGGGACAGAAGAUGAAAAUAUCACACAGAAAAGAAAAACACAGUGGCUACAAAUUUAAUAAAACAAGCAGUCAUACUUAGCCUCGCAGUAUAGUCUGGCAUUUUUACUGCCCGAUGGUAUCAAGGUUGGGCCAGUGCAAGAGAAUUCAUGCUCGUGAACUCACAAGAAGCACAAACUUCACUUUCUGCAGCCUCUCUGCUUGCAGAGCUAGCAAAAGGGAAGGAAAAU